GAGUUUGAUCCUGGCUCAGAUUGAACGCUGGCGGCAGGCCUAACACAUGCAAGUCGAGCGGCAGCAGCUCCUUCGGGAGGCUGGCGAGCGGCGGACGGGUGAGUAAUGCAUGGGAACUUACCCAGUAGUGGGGGAUAGCCCGGGGAAACCCGGAUUAAUACCGCAUACGCCCUGAGGGGGAAAGCGGGCUCCGGCUCGCGCUAUUGGAUGGGCCCAUGUCGGAUUAGUUAGUUGGUGGGGUAAUGGCCUACCAAGGCGACGAUCCGUAGCUGGUCUGAGAGGAUGAUCAGCCACACCGGGACUGAGACACGGCCCGGACUCCUACGGGAGGCAGCAGUGGGGAAUAUUGGACAAUGGGGGCAACCCUGAUCCAGCCAUGCCGCGUGUGUGAAGAAGGCCUUAGGGUUGUAAAGCACUUUCAGCAGGGAGGAAAAGCUGAUCGUUAAUACCGGUCAGUGUGACGUUACCUGC
RNAcentral lists this ribosomal RNA (471 nucleotides) under uncultured bacterium. RNAcentral's name for it is "bacterial SSU rRNA". It matches the Rfam family "Bacterial small subunit ribosomal RNA", at positions 9 to 482 of the family's 1533-position model. The record is from RNAcentral.